RNAcentral lists this transfer RNA (63 nucleotides) under unidentified. RNAcentral describes it as "Strongylium kulzeri tRNA-Ala". The record is from RNAcentral.
AAAUAAGAAGCAAAUAAUUGCAUUUAGUUUCGACCUAAAAAUAUGUUUAAAAAACCUUAUUUU